RNAcentral lists this long non-coding RNA (1544 nucleotides) under Brassica napus (rape). RNAcentral describes it as "long non-coding RNA (BNAP_LNC025730)". The record is from RNAcentral. Lineage: Eukaryota; Viridiplantae; Streptophyta; Magnoliopsida; Brassicales; Brassicaceae.
UCCAAUAAACAUAAGAUAACCACACAUUAAGUCUUAUUCCCAAAAGAAAUGACAACAUCAAACUCCUUCACCGCUGCCCAGCACAAAGUACCCCUUGAGCAGGUUGAGAUUCAUUAUUUAUUACAAAAGCAAGAAACUUAGAUGAUAAUAACUUGGUAGAAACAUAGAUGAUAACUUCCAAUGUAUUUGAUCAAAAUGCAUUAGAUCAAAUAGACACACUGUUGGGAACACCCAUCCCGGUAAGGAUGCAUUAGAUCAAUUAGUGAUUUAAUGUAUGUUUAACUAUAAAGUAGAAAGAUGUAUUUAAUUUAACAACUUACAAAAUAAAUGUUAGGUCCAACACAAUGUUUCUGUUUAAUAAUAUAAACUAGAUUUUGAUCCGCGCUUUCAAAGCGCGGGUUUAUUUUCUUUUUGUUCAAUGGUCAAAAUAUUUAGUAAAUGUCAUAUUUCAUAUAUUUGUGUUUUAUUUUAUAAAAGACUUAAACUUUUUAUCUUUCUUUAUCGUGUUUCAUUUUAAAUGACUAUUUAUGUUUAAAAAAUUAAACUUUAUUUUUUUAAUGAAUUAAAUUGGUAUAACUCUGAUAAAUUAAUUUUCUUAUGUGGUUAAUAUUUUUAAUAAAAAUAAUUAUAUACUUUUAAUAAAGAUUUAUACUUUUCAAUGAAAAAAUCAAUUUUUUUUUAUGAAUGCUUAAAUUAUAUUAAGAAAAGAAAAAAAAUAAUUAAGAAUGGUUGAAAAAAAAUUAUUUGAAUUUGGACUCAAUGGCCCAAAGAAAAAAAAUGUGAGAAUUGGAUCUGAUUUCUUAAUCGGCCCAAAUGGUCCAAGAGAGAUCUGAUGUGGACAGUGGGCUGGAUCCGAAAAAAAUGGCCAAAUAUAGAAGUGUUAUUAAUAUUACUUGAUUGCCCUUAAUGAAACAUGCAAUGUUAGUAAAAAAAGGGCACACUAAGGUAAAAAGGACAAUAGGAUCCUGCUUUAAUAGUAUAGAUUAUCAUAGCCUACCCGGAUUUACGGUAAUUCAAUUUCAGUAUUUUUUGUUUAUUUAAAAGUUUACUCGGAUCUGGUUAUGAAUUUUCAUCCAUUUCAUAAACUUUUCCAGGUAAAAUUGUUUUAAUAGGCUAACUUACUAUACUUGAAUACAAUCUUCAAUAGGUCAGGCCAACUCGAUGGGGUCGUUUUCCUACGUCCAACAAUAUUUGGUCCAAUAAACAUAAGAUAACCACACAUUAAGUCUUAUUCCCAAAAGAAAUGACAACAUCAAACUCCUUCACCGCUGCCCAGCACAAAGUACCCCUUGAGCAGGUUGAGAUUCAUUAUUUAUUACAAAAGCAAGAAACUUAGAUGAUAAUAACUUGGUAGAAAGAUAGAUGAUAACUUCCAAUGUAUUUGAUCAAAAUGCAUUAGAUCAAAUAGACACACUGUUGGGAACACCCAUCCCGGUAAGGCCUGGUUCAGAGAUAGGCUUCAAAAGCUCGUACUUAACAACACCUGCUCCAGCUCGAUUCUUUAGAGCAACAUCCACGUUCCUCUCAUCUAUCACUCCUUCUAG